This 439-nucleotide ribosomal RNA is filed under the name uncultured bacterium. Its description in RNAcentral is "bacterial SSU rRNA". It matches the Rfam family "Bacterial small subunit ribosomal RNA", at positions 35 to 507 of the family's 1533-position model. The record is from RNAcentral.
CGAUUGAACGGCUAGCGGGAUGCUUUACACAUGCAAAGUCGAACGGGCGUAGCAAUACGUCAGUGGCAGACGGGUGAGUAACGCGUGGGAACGUACCUUUUGGUUCGGAACAACACAGGGAAACUUGUGCUAAUACCGGAUAAGCCCUUACGGGGAAAGAUUUAUCGCCGAAAGAUCGGCCCGCGUCUGAUUAGCUAGUUGGUGAGGUAACGGCUCACCAAGGCGACGAUCAGUAGCUGGUCUGAGAGGAUGAUCAGCCACAUUGGGACUGAGACACGGCCCAAACUCCUACGGGAGGCAGCAGUGGGGAAUAUUGGACAAUGGGCGCAAGCCUGAUCCAGCCAUGCCGCGUGAGUGAUGAAGGCCCUAGGGUUGUAAAGCUCUUUUGUGCGGGAAGAUAAUGACGGUACCGCAAGAAUAAGCCCCGGCUAACUUCGUG